Molecule: unclassified non-coding RNA, 207 nt
Filed under: Lactobacillus sp. JN5
Lineage: Bacteria; Bacillati; Bacillota; Bacilli; Lactobacillales; Lactobacillaceae
Also listed under: 4 other names
Description: 16S-23S ribosomal RNA intergenic spacer region
Source: RNAcentral
CUAAGGAAGCGAAGGAUAUGGAGAGUAGAAAUACUAAGAGAAGUAUCCAGAGCAAGCGGAAGCACACUAAGAAACUUUGUUUAGUUUUGAGGGUAGUACCUCAAAAGAGUUAGUACAUUGAAAACUGAAUAUAAUCCAAGCAAAAAACCGAGACAAUCAAAGAGAACAGAUUGUAGAGCGACCGAGAAGAGAAUUCUUGGGUAAGGU